Molecule: ribosomal RNA, 403 nt
Filed under: Bacillota bacterium
Lineage: Bacteria; Bacillati; Bacillota
Description: Firmicutes bacterium partial 16S ribosomal RNA
Rfam family: Bacterial small subunit ribosomal RNA
Source: RNAcentral
UGGGGAAUAUUGCACAAUGGGCGAAAGCCUGAUGCAGCGACGCCGCGUGAGCGAAGAAGGCCUUCGGGUCGUAAAGCUCUGUCCUAUGGGACGAUAAUGACGGUACCAUAGGAGGAAGCCCCGGCUAACUACGUGCCAGCAGCCGCGGUAAUACGUAGGGGGCGAGCGUUGUCCGGAAUGACUGGGCGUAAAGGGUACGUAGGCGGCCAGGUAAGUCAGGUGUGAAAGUCUAGGGCUCAACCCUAGUGAGCACUUGAAACUGCUUGGCUUGAGUCGAGGAGAGGAAGGUGGAAUUCCUGGUGUAGCGGUGAAAUGCGUAGAUAUCAGGAGGAAUACCAGUGGCGAAGGCGACCUUCUGGCCUUGGACUGACGCUGAGGUACGAAAGCGUGGGGAGCAAACAGA